This 641-nucleotide long non-coding RNA is filed under the name Homo sapiens (human). RNAcentral's name for it is "HSALNT0071623". Lineage: Eukaryota; Metazoa; Chordata; Mammalia; Primates; Hominidae. The record is from RNAcentral.
CUAAGCCAAGUCUCCUUCAAAAUGGUGGAGUGCAGAGAAUCAGAGAGUGGUUGUAGAGGGAAGUAGACAACACAGCAAAUAGUAGCUGUCCGUAACUCACUCCAGAUGCGUCUCUGGGACCACUGCAUAUCCUUAGGAAGACAGCCUAUGGUUAGAGAUAGUCCUCAAUUCAGAGAAGGGAACUGUGUCACCUGGUGGAGCAAAUAACUUAAUCCCUCUGUGUCUGAUUUAUCAACCAAAACUGAGGCUAGAAAGUAGACAUGAGGAUGAUGAGUCAUCUUCAACUGCACCAAUGAGGGAUCUUCUCUUAUCUGACGGGGAACGUGAACAGUGAUUAUCCACUUAGCCCAGAUCCAUUCUCUGAUUUUUAAAAAUGUGAUUUGCUAACACAUACCAGACUUCACAUAGGGAGAAGGUGUAAACAUGGAAUCCGUUUCUUGAAGAGCAUUUCAUACAACGCCCCUGAGGAACACACUUUGGAAAAUGUUCAUCCCUGUCCAACUACCAUGUUUGCGUGAGUUUAUGAUCUGCCUGCCGUUCAUCAGCCUUUGUUAUCAGAUGAGGAAACCAAGACACAGAGAAGAUAAACAACUUGCCUGAAGUCACAAAUGGUAAGUGGUGGAGCUGGGAUGUGAACCUGG